AUUCUUAACACUGGUGAAACCUUCCAAAUGGCAACACCGAGGUGGCGUGUGGGGUAACUAAUACAGGCGGUUCUCACCACGGAGGAGCUUACAACAACCUCCUCUUCAGUGCUGCCACUGAGAUAAACACGUCGGUCACCCAGAUCAGCCCAUUAAGCCAGGAGGACAAGAAAGGAGGUCCUUCAGAAGCCAGUCAGAAACGAAGGGCAGUCAAGCAGAAAGGGAAGUGGUUGAAACACAAUGACACUGUGCUCGGUCAAAUAAGGAGUAAGCGGCUCCUCUGGCAGCUUCAGCAGCAGGAGUGGGGCCGGGUUCGAGGUUAAAGUUAUUCAGCGGGAGAGAGGAAUUUGUAGCAUCCACUGUCCGCUAACCUCCCCUGGUGAUGAGCAAUCUGCUAACCUCCCCUGGUGAUGAGCAAUCUGCAGCCUUCCUGAGUACGGACUUGAAGACGGCCACACUGCCAUCCGCUCCCAGCUCGCUGUGAAGAAGGAU
This is a long non-coding RNA of Gasterosteus aculeatus aculeatus (three-spined stickleback), 492 nucleotides long. The record is from Ensembl. Lineage: Eukaryota; Metazoa; Chordata; Actinopteri; Perciformes; Gasterosteidae.